GACGAACGCUGGCGGCGUGCCUAAUACAUGCAAGUAGAACGCUGAAGAGAGGAGCUUGCUCUUCUUGGAUGAGUUGCGAACGGGUGAGUAACGCGUAGGUAACCUGCCUUGUAGCGGGGGAUAACUAUUGGAAACGAUAGCUAAUACCGCAUAACAAUGGAUGACACAUGUCAUUAUUUGAAAGGGGCAAUUGCUCCACUACAAGAUUGAACUGCGUUGUAUUAGCUAGUAGGUGAGGUAAUGGCUCACCUAGGCGACGAUACAUAGCCGACCUGAGAGGGUGAUCGGCCACACUGGGACUGAGACACGGCCCAGACUCCUACGGGAGGCAGCAGUAGGGAAUCUUCGGCAAUGGGGGCAACCCUGACCGAGCAACGCCGCGUGAGUGAAGAAGGUUUUCGGAUCGUAAAGCUCUGUUGUAAGUCAAGAACGGGUGUGAGAGUGGAAAGUUCACACUGUGACGGUAGCUUACCAGAAAGGGACGGCUAACUACGUG
This 496-nucleotide ribosomal RNA is filed under the name uncultured bacterium. Its description in RNAcentral is "partial 16S ribosomal RNA". It matches the Rfam family "Bacterial small subunit ribosomal RNA", at positions 28 to 507 of the family's 1533-position model. The record is from RNAcentral.